CAGCCACCGCGGUCAUACGAUUAACCCAAAUUAAUAGGCCCACGGCGUAAAACGUGUUAAGAACUACAACAAUACUAAAGUUAAAAUUUAACAAGGCCGUAAAAAGCUACUGUUAAUACAAAAUAUGCUACGAAAGUGACUUUACUAUAUCCGACAACACGAUAGCUGAGGCC
Molecule: ribosomal RNA, 173 nt
Filed under: Lutra lutra (Eurasian river otter)
Lineage: Eukaryota; Metazoa; Chordata; Mammalia; Carnivora; Mustelidae
Description: partial 12S rRNA
Source: RNAcentral